This 514-nucleotide ribosomal RNA is filed under the name uncultured bacterium. Its description in RNAcentral is "partial 16S ribosomal RNA". The record is from RNAcentral.
GGAGUUAGCCGGUGCUUCUUCUGUGAGUGAUGUCCUUCCUGCCGGUUAUUGACCCGCAGGCCUUCUUCCUCACUGAAAGUGCUUUACAACCCGAAGGCCUUCUUCACACACGCGGCAUGGCUGGAUCAGGGUUGCCCCCAUUGUCCAAUAUUCCCCACUGCUGCCUCCCGUAGGAGUCUGGGCCGUGUCUCAGUCCCAGUGUGGCUGAUCAUCCUCUCAGACCAGCUACGGAUCGUCGCCUUGGUGAGCCGUUACCUCACCAACCAGCUAAUCCGACAUAGGCUCAUCCGAUAGCGCGAGGCCCGAAGGUCCCCCGCUUUCCCCCGUAGGGCGUAUGCGGUAUUAGCCUGGGUUUCCCCAGGUUAUCCCCCACUACCCGGGCAGAUUCCUAUGCAUUACUCACCCGUCCGCCGCUCGCCACCAGGAGCAGCUCCCGUCGCUGCCGCUCGACUUGCAUGUGUUAGGUCCGUCGCCGCCACGCGUUCAACUCUGAGCCGAGGAUACAACUACUCGA